UAUCUCUCCGUACGGGGAAGGAUGAGAAGCUUCGACUAAGGUUCGAUUCGAGCGCAGCGAGAAAGCGUUGCCGCAGGCAACGACCCGAAGGGUGAGGAG
This 99-nucleotide small RNA is filed under the name Salmonella enterica. RNAcentral's name for it is "partial RtT sRNA". It matches the Rfam family "RtT RNA", at positions 1 to 98 of the family's 130-position model. Rfam says of the family: This family represents a bacterial cis-regulatory element known as RtT RNA. The exact function of RtT is unknown although it is thought that it may be involved in changing the cellular response in relation to amino acid starvation. The record is from RNAcentral. Lineage: Bacteria; Pseudomonadati; Pseudomonadota; Gammaproteobacteria; Enterobacterales; Enterobacteriaceae.